Potamilus streckersoni is the source of this 74-nucleotide non-coding RNA. The record is from the annotation of a GenBank genome assembly. Lineage: Eukaryota; Metazoa; Mollusca; Bivalvia; Unionida; Unionidae.
CACUCCGGUGGCCUAGUGGUUAAAGAGUCCGCCUCGGAUGCGUUAUGUCGUGGGUUCGAUCCCCGGUCGAGUCA